UGUAUGGUUAAGUGACUAAGCGUACACGGUGGAUGCCUGGGCAGUCAGAGGCGAUGAAGGACGUACUAACUUGCGAUAAGCGCAGAUAAGGCAGUAAGAGCCGUUUGAGUCUGCGAUUUCCGAAUGGGGAAACCCAACUGCAUAAGCAGUUACUGUUAACUGAAUACAUAGGUUAACAGAGCAAACCGGGGGAACUGAAACAUCUAAGUACCCCGAGGAGAAGAAAUCAACCGAGAUUCCGGUAGUAGCGGCGAGCGAACCUGGAUUAGCCCUUAAGCACUCGGUGAAGUAGGUGAACAAGCUGGAAAGCUUGGCGAUACAGGGUGAUAGCCCCGUAACCGACGCUUCAUCGAGCGUGAAAUCGAGUAGGGCGGGACACGUGAUAUCCUGUCUGAAUAUGGGGGGACCAUCCUCCAAGGCUAAAUACUCCUGACUGACCGAUAGUGAACCAGUACCGUGAGGGAAAGGCGAAAAGAACCCCUGUGAGGGGAGUGAAAUAGAACCUGAAACCGUGUACGUACAAGCAGUAGGAGCACCUUCGUGGUGUGACUGCGUACCUUUUGUAUAAUGGGUCAGCGACUUAUAUUCAGUGGCAAGGUUAACCGUAUAGGGGAGCCGUAGCGAAAGCGAGUCUUAACUGGGCGCUCAGUCUCUGGAUAUAGACCCGAAACCGGGUGAUCUAGCCAUGGGCAGGUUGAAGGUUGAGUAACAUCAACUGGAGGACCGAACCGACUAAUGUUGAAAAAUUAGCGGAUGACUUGUGGCUAGGGGUGAAAGGCCAAUCAAACUCGGAGAUAGCUGGUUCUCCCCGAAAGCUAUUUAGGUAGCGCCUCGGACGAAUACUACUGGGGGUAGAGCACUGUUAAGGCUAGGGGGUCAUCCCGACUUACCAACCCUUUGCAAACUCCGAAUACCAGUAAGUACUAUCCGGGAGACACACGGCGGGUGCUAACGUCCGUCGUGGA
Molecule: ribosomal RNA, 965 nt
Filed under: Vibrio cholerae
Lineage: Bacteria; Pseudomonadati; Pseudomonadota; Gammaproteobacteria; Vibrionales; Vibrionaceae
Description: partial 23S ribosomal RNA
Rfam family: Bacterial large subunit ribosomal RNA
Source: RNAcentral